This is a long non-coding RNA of Lotus japonicus, 7709 nucleotides long. RefSeq lists it as uncharacterized. NCBI's taxonomy places the organism in Eukaryota, Viridiplantae, Streptophyta, Magnoliopsida, Fabales, Fabaceae. The record is from RefSeq and is a predicted model, not a curated record. The transcript has 2 exons.
GUAAAAGUCAAUGGGUCAUUGAAUAGAUAUGCAGGUAAAAUGUUUAAAUAAUAGUUCCAUGACUUUGAAGUCUUGAUGUUUAGAGAUUAUAGAAUGGGAAUGAGAAUUAUUAUCGUGCAUUCUUCCACCACCGCCCCUUUGCCCAAUUGUCUUCCAGCACCGCCCCUUCGCCCAAUUGCCUAUGUGCAGUCCCCCUAUUCUCUAAUGCAUAUUUCAUUGAUGUUUUUUUAGGAUCAUCUGAAGGCUUUCAGAUUCUCCCCAUUCACCACCCUCCCAAAAACCUAUAAACCUCCUCUCUUUUUUUCUCUCCUUUUCUUCUUUUAUUGCUCUUUUGCGUUUUAUCUUCAGUGGAAACAAUGGGUGUGUAAUGGAUGCCGUUGAUUUUUGUCCGCCACCGUGUAAGGUGGAGAAGGUGGCGGUGCGGUCUCUGAACAAGCUCCCGUUUGGGCUUCCGGUUCUGCCCCUCCGCUCGAAGUUCCUCACAAAACACAGUUUUUUUUUUGUAAUUUUGUGCAUGUAGAUUAUAAUCGUUAAUUAGACAUCAACUGUUGUGAUUCGGGUAAAGCUGCAAAGUCUAAUGCUGAAGUCUGAUCAGAUGCAGAUGUGGAGCAAAUAUAACCUAAAUCAUGUGUUUAUCUGUGAGCACAUGUAUGAUCCUGCUACUGGGUCACUCAGGAAGCUGAUAUCAAAGUAACAUACUCAAAGUGGAUGCUACUUCUUCCUUAAGAAAAGAGAAGAAAGAGAAGUGUAAGAUCUUCUUCAACCAUUUUAUUAUUCUUCUUCGUUUUCAUAGAUCAUAACAAGAGAGAGUGGGAUAGGUUUGAAGACGGAAGACUAUGAUUCGCAUUGAUGCAACGUCUGAUAGCAAAGAUGAAGAGAGAAAAGUAAAGAAGGAGCCUUUUGAGACAAAUCAGAUCUACAACCGUGGGAGAUUCCGUUUCAGUGGGAAUGGAGAGUGGUCUGAUAUGGGCUUAUUGAUUAGUUGGGCUUAUCAGCCUAAUGUAAAUAUGGGUCACGCAACCCAUGGUCCGGGCGGACCGAAACUCAAUCUAUAAAUAUCAGACACCACCCAAGCGGUGGGGAUCUAAUUUUUCAGGCAUUUUUCUAGUUUCGUUCAUUCUCUAUCGCUCUCAAACUGGUUAGCCCUUGCUCGAUAGUUCCAUACCGGAACAUUGGCGCCGUCUGUGGGGACUCUGUAAAACAAAUCCCCACUACCACGAACAAGAGGCUAUGUGAUUUCUACUCCUGAGAGAGGAGGGCGAACGAAAUUGAAGGGGAAGCCAUGCAAUCAAUUUAUGUAAAAAUGUCAGUUUCAAAAGAUGGUUGCAUAGAACAUCAGAAACAGAUUGAGGAAACGUGAAGAAGCAGAGAAGAGAAAACGGCGACAAGGGAGAAAAGUUUCGGAUCGAUGCCAGGACGUGAACGGAGGCGGCGAAACUCCUUGGUGCUCGCGGGCGAUGCGUUUUGUGGGCGGUGGAAGGGAUGAACAAAGUGGUUCGCCUUUACCAUCGUCCAUGCUCUUUUUCUUUCAAUCCUUUUUCAAUGUUGCAGUUCCCAAACUUCACAAAGGACAGAGGUCAAGUGGAUUGAAGGUUGGAGGAUCACAAUUUGGGCUUGAAAAUCAAGAUGGAGAACGCCCCUGUUUCCGGACCUGAUUCAAAACCGUCAACAAAUCCCAAUUCAUACGAUUUUGGAAAUGCACAACCGCCACGUAGAAGAUUGAAGCCAUCAUUUUGAGUUGCAACCGUCCAUUCAAUUUCAACUGUCACGCCCAGAAUUUAAAUGCUCAUUUUGUCUCAACUGCAAGGGGAGUUUGCAACCGCUCAUGCUUUCUCAACCGCCACUCUGGGUCGAAAUCGUCCAUGUUCGUCCAUGAGUUCAAUCAAACCAAAUUGAUUCAGGACCAUUCAAGCACAAUCCUUGUUCCUUCAAAUAUUUCUUCUACUUUCUGUUUCAGUUUUGUUUCCAUUAGAUUUGUGCUCCGAUUAUCAAUGGUUUGAAAUUAAUUCCAUCAUUCUUUUCUUUGUGUUUGAUACGAGAAAGAGAGGAGCAUGGUGGAUUAAGAAGAAGGAGCAUAUAAGUUGGAACACACCAACUGUUCGACGAAAUGCUUCAGCAAAACUUUGCAUCUUCGAAUGCCAUAAUGUGCUUGUCAACUCCGUCAUCAUGUACCAGGAUUUCAACAUUGCACACAAAGUGUUUGAUCAAAUGCCACAAUGAGAUGUUGUUUCAUUGGUGAGGAUGAACUAUGCAAUUUGGUGCAUAGGAGCAAGUCUUAAGGGCUGGAGUGAGAGGGCAGUACAAUUUCCAUUCUACUAGUUGAUUUUUUAAUUUUACCUCUUACUUUCUUAUCAUGUGGUUCUUCGUUCAUAAGCAUGCCUGCAUUCUGUUUGAUGAAGUGCUUAACUGACAUUCAUUUUACCUUCAAUUCAUCACAUGAGAGUUCUGAUCUGGGAUAUGAUUUUCUCGAUUUUAAUUUGUUUUAAUCCUUUAACUACUACAUGGGAAUUUAAACGCUCUUGAGUUUUAUGGUGACUGUUUAACGUUCGUAACUCCUUGCCUUGCCUGCAAUCUGGUUUAUCCCUCGCUCAUUUGAUUAGUUUAGAUUUGAACCUGCACUUAUUUGCAUCUGAACAUGAAACUUGGUAGUUAAUUUCCUAAUUAAAGGUGUUUGAUUGUAUAACUGUUCUUUCUCAUGUGAUUUGGUUAUUACGAAGGAUAAGGUGUUGAGUUUUGAAAUGUGUAUCAAGUAUAACCAUAUGUUCUGGUGCUGGUUCUCAAUUUCCUUGAUGUGGCUCUAUACGUGUUGUCACUUAUCAUAUUCCAAAUGCUGGUUUUUAUCAUAGUGAUUUGGUGCACGCUUGCACCUGAGGUAAUUUGUUAAUGAUCUCUUGUCUAAAACAUGUGGACCAUCAUACAACUCUGGAAUUUAGUUUACUGCAACUAAUUAAUUUAUCUAGCUCCUCUUGUCUGUAUCAUUUUUAUGUUCAUUUUCCCCAAAGCAUAUGUUGAUUUGGUGAUGAACUACUUGUUUGUAUAAAUCUGUAUGUUAGAACAAAGGGGACAGCCCUGCAUUAUAAAUAAUGAAACGAAACUGUCUUUCUAAAAGAGUAAAUGUGUGUUGCCCCACUGUGCUUUGUAAAUUAUUUUAUAAAACAGAUAUUUAGUAUUCAAACCAAGGGUAGGGAAAUGGAUACCUUCUGUUUUUUCACAUGUACGUAAUAAUUCUGGUUUGAGUCUUGUUUUAUGUUAUCAUAAGUUUCUAGUUUAUUCUGACUAAGCCUUGCCAUCUGUUCUUAAUUCUCACCACUUUCAUCAGUUUAAUUAUGUAUACUUGGAUACCUUAGUCAAUUAACUGUCUUCAUGAUCAUAUUCAAAUCUCUGCAUAAUUACUUUAAUUUGUAAUGCACAUGCAAUUCCUUAGCUGAACAUGUGAAAAGCUACAGUAGGCGGUCUCGUGUGAGACUCAACUUUAGGGAUGCACAUUUUGAUAUACAUGCUCAUUCUUGGUAUAUAUAUAUAUUUUCUCAUUUCAUCAACAUGCCUUUUACACCUUCUAUUGUAUAAAGUUUAAAGUUCAGGAAAGGUAUGUGCACAUGGCCAACUCACUGGAAAGGGAAGUGACGGUGAAGAGGAUGGUAAAGAAAAAGUAAAAGGCACUGGGAGAGUGUUUAGAGUCUGAAGAUGAAGAACCAAUUUUCCGCCACACCAAUUAUUUGAUGGAAUGGAGGAUGAUGAAGAUGCAUCCUAGGAGAGGGCAUGCGAACAAAAAAUGGCUGGUCUUGAAUAGCACAAAAUCUGGAACUGAGACAAAAUUCUGGUUUGACAAAUCUUUCUUUUAAUUCUAUUUAAUAUCCUAUCUGCAUAAUCUGCAUGCUGCCUGCACAAAGAAUAGUGAUUUUCUUUGAUAACUAUUCGAACUCCAGUGGAAUAUACUCUUGCAUAGUUAAUUCUUAAUUUGUUUUGAUGGUAAAUCCUUAAUUGAUUAUUUGAGAAACAGUCUCCUAGCUUUAAUAAGAAGUACCUUUGGAAAGUGUCUAAUUGCAGUGGAUGUUUUAUAUCACUAUAUGAAUUUGAACUGUUUGAGCUAUAAAAUAAUGAGCUUUAAUUUUGAUGAAUGGAUGCUCUUUACUUGAAUUCAAAGUUGAUUCUAAAGUUAAUGCUUUCUAUGUUAUUAAGUAUCAAUUUGUCUUUGUUGUGAGUUGCUCUGCUAUAUUCUUGAAUUAAACAUGAAAAAUUGGUCCUUCAAAUUGAGAUUUUGCCUGCUAAUCCUGAAAGCUUGAUUACUUGAACUUGUGAUGCAAGAGAUUGAAAUUUAUGUUGAAAAUCAAUCUAUACUCGGUUACUUCCACAUUGAUGUUGGAUCUGAUUGCAUUUUGGGGUCCAUGAGUUUCAAUUUGUACUUUGAAGAGAUCUCCAAAUGCCUACCAUAUAUUUGAUAAAUUCUCUAUGUGAGUUCAAAAGAAGUUCAAGAAAGUAUAACGUUGCUGUUUGGAAAAAAGUUACCCUGAGUUCUUGACUUUGUGUUGGUUAUCAAGUGUUUCUGAUGCUAUGCCUUAUAUUAUUUGGCCAACUUUCAUUUUAAACUGCCAUUUUACUUAGAAAACCUUAGGUUUGGGUGUUGUGUGCUUGAGUUAUCAUAAGCUAUAAAAUUUCUCCUACAAUUAAACGCUGUUUUGAUGAUAAUUUGCUUGCUUACCAGACUAUAUGUAUGUAAUGAUGUGGAACUUUAAUCAUACUAUUUUCAUAGAAAAUAAGCAUUUGGUUAUUACAUGAUUCUUAAAUGGAAUUAAGGUUUUUCUUUUAAAGUCAGAGUGCAGUAUGGUUAAUAGGCUUGCAUAUACAUUUUGGAAGAGUCUUCAUCAUAUGUCUUGUGAAGUAUCUAUAACUAUCAAAUUUUAUGUGCUUAAUAGGUUCAAGGGUACCAGAAAUUGGGUAUUGGCUAACAAAUAUGAUAAGAUUUCACUUUUUUUUUUUUUUGCCUCAUUGUAUCUAUAUAAGAUUUCACUUUUUAGUUAUCCUGUCAUGAUUUUUGCUUAAAGCAACAUGGAUUUUGGUUUUGGUUUUGUGAAGCUUGAAGCUUUGAACCUUGGAUGAAUGUUCAUUGAAUUGAUGGUGGAAUGAUUCUGAUUUAGAUAAACUAGCUUAGGCUGAUCAUAAGAAGUGUUCCAUUGUGUUUUUGCUGCUUAGUUUAGUAAUUGAGAAGACUCAUUCAUAAUACUGAGAAAACUCAUUUCUUUAAGGUUUUGGAUUUUGAAUAUUGUUCCUGUACAAUUUGCAUGUUUGUGCGCUUCUUACAUAUUUUGAUUUUGUCAAUGUUAUAUUAUAUUUUAUCUCAUGCUAACAAGGUGAUGAGUUGACAGGUGAUGAGUUGACUAAAAACAGUCAAAGCAUAAAACAUUAAGUACAGAAAAAGAAAGGAGCAACAGGUAUGCACUCUUUUCUCUACCCCAGGCGGGAGAGUUUUUAACGAGGCAUAACCUUUUAAAAAUGUUCAAGGGCGUAUGCACUCUUUUCUCUACCCCAGGCGGGAGAGUUUUAACGAGGCAUAACCUUUUUAAAGUGAUCAAGGGCGUAUCAUUUUACUUAUUUCUUUUACCCAUAGCGGAAACUUAUCAACUAAGGUCUAUCAAUUGGGCGACGUCAGACAAUUGAGAAAAGAGUAAGUCUCUUAAAACAAGAGCAUUCGACCACGAAUUCAUAAGCACAGUCUUAAAUUGGAUUUAAGCUUGUCCAAACUAAGCACAAGUCUCCACGCGAGCAUACUAAUGAAAUCAAAUAUCGUGACUUUGAUUUCCAUGAAUAACUAUGUCAAAAAUGAAAAUUUGACUAAGUUAUAUACACGAAGGCCUUAUGAUUCCAAAGUAGUUGAUUAAGUUUAAACUUUAUAAAAUUUUGAGAUUCACUCAAGAGUAUUUUACUAUAUACAGUAAAAUAAGAAAGCGAUGUGCUUGAAUAAUGAUGAAGGCGGAUCAAUUCCGAUGAAAAGUAAAGAAACACAUAAUGAUUCUGAUGGAAAGUUCAUCUUACAAAAAAUACACUACACUGAGCAUAGAUGAAUGUGCAAGCGAUAUGAAGUAAGUGUGUUCCAUGUUAUUGAUUUACAUUUAAGUCUUCAACUUUUAUUUUGUUCAAGUUUCAAAUUAUUGUGCAUUAUUACUUGUGGUAUUAUGAGAGCAGGUUGUAAUCAUGGUUUAGGGGAAGAGAAAAUUAUUCAUGAUAAUGACAGUGAGGCUGUGAUUGAUGCGAAGAGGUGAUUUUGGUCAACUUGCACACGCUACACAAAGAUCAAGAAGUAACAGCAAAAGUUGAAAUGACAAAGGAAUGACUACUUAGCUUUUAUGCCUUUUAAAUUUUGAUUUUGGAGCCUGUGUGCCCAUUAUUUCCUUUGCACAUUUUGGGCGUGUCAAUUACUUGUUAGUCUUUGUGUAGUGUUGGGUGAGUUGAUUACUUGUGGGCUCGAAAAAAGACACACUUCGUCUUAAAGCUUUUAAGACUCGGUGUCUUGUGGGCUUGUGGUCUGAUAUGGGCUUAUUGAUUAGUUGGGCUUAUCAGCCUAAUGUAAAUAUGGGUCACGCAACCCAUGGUCCGGGCGGACCGAAACUCAAUCUAUAAAUAUCAGACACCACCCAAGCGGUGGGGAUCUAAUUUUUCAGGCAUUUUUCUAGUUUCGUUCAUUCUCUAUCGCUCUCAAACUGGUUAGCCCUUGCUCGAUAGUUCCAUAGCGGAACAGAGAGGAUCUAUGUCGGUGGAAAGGUUAUCUCUCAACCAUUUCUUUUCUGGGUAUUAUAUUUGUUUCAAGUUUCAAAUUUUACACAUGCAGUUUCAAUUUCUCUUUUUGAGACGAUGGGGUUGGUGAACACAAUUUGCAGUAUCUAGCUAAUUUCGCUUUUAUUAUAUUGCUUUUUUUAGCUGCAUUGGGGUCUAUCUGAUUGUCAGUUGGAUUUGUUAAUUUCAUUUCUCCUUUCCUUCCUUGCAAAUCUUAUUUUUCUCAUUUAUUUACAGUCCAAUGUGCAGAUGGUCUUAAUGUGUGACGGGUUGCAGGAAGGGAAGUUGGUUGUGCAGAGACGGAGGUUUGGGACCUGAUCAAAUGGGAUGCAAUCAAUGGCAAGUGUUGUAAGUGUGAUUUUUUAUUUUAUUUUACUUAUUUGAUUUGAGUUUUGUUGGAUCUAGAGCUUGAUUAUUUUCUCUUGCUGUGUUUAUCUACUUCUUCCUUUGUACUGUGGUCACCUAACAUGUUGUGUCCUGCUGCUGUCUACAACCAUGUGAUCACUGAUCUAUCUUUAUAAGAUAUGAACAUGCUGUAGCUGGAGCUAUUGAUGGAUGAAAACAAAAUCUGUAUAAUAAAAUAUAAAACAUGUUGAGUAAUGAAUUUGUUAAUUGUCGUUUCUAAACAUUCUCCUAACAUUUUUAUGUUAAUUGUUUGUGUUUGAUGCAAUUUUUCCUAUAUUGUUGGAGUGGAGAGAUGAUCCUGAGGCCAUUCUUGAUAAGCAUACAUGGGAUUUAUCUCCAAAUCUGGCUGCAGAAGCAGCACCAGAUCAGCUUUGGAAAAUAACGGCAAUAUAAGUGGCAGGAAACAUCAUGGUGUAGGCUACAAGAAUCACAUAAACCUCGAUGCUUUAUAUGUCAUGUAUUCCCACUUUUAACUAAGCUCUCUGAUUCUCUAUGUUAGUAAGUGACUUAAAUUAACCAAAGCAUUUAUUGAUCAA